AACGCACCUUGCGCUCCUUGGUAUUCCGAGGAGCAUGCCUGUUUGAGUGUCAUUACAUUCUCAACUAUACAAGUUUUUACAACAUGUAUGGCUUGGAUCUUGGGAUUUGCGGGCUUUCACAAGUCAGCUAUCCUUAAAUGCAUUAGCAGAGCUUUUGCCGCUAACCUCUGGUGUGAUAAUUAUCUACGCCGUUGAGUUUCGACAUACUGAGGCUUAGCUUCUAAUCGUCCGCAAGGACAACAUUUGACAAUCUGACCUCAAAUCAGGUAGGAUUACCCGCUGAACUUAA
Molecule: unclassified non-coding RNA, 289 nt
Filed under: uncultured Clitopilus
Lineage: Eukaryota; Fungi; Basidiomycota; Agaricomycetes; Agaricales; Entolomataceae
Description: sequence contains ITS2
Rfam family: 5.8S ribosomal RNA (bases 1-52)
Source: RNAcentral